This 793-nucleotide ribosomal RNA is filed under the name uncultured bacterium. RNAcentral's name for it is "bacterial SSU rRNA". It matches the Rfam family "Bacterial small subunit ribosomal RNA", at positions 8 to 796 of the family's 1533-position model. The record is from RNAcentral.
AGAGUUUGAUCCUGGCUCAGGAUGAACGCUAGCGGCAGGCUUAAUACAUGCAAGUCGAGGGGCAGCACAGGUAGCAAUACUGGGUGGCGACCGGCAAACGGGUGCGGAACACGUACAGAACCUUCCUUUAAGUGGGGGAUAGCCCAGAGAAAUUUGGAUUAAUACCCCGUAAUAUUAUGGAGUGGCAUCACUUUAUAAUUAUAGAUUUAUCGCUUAAAGAUGGCUGUGCGGCUGAUUAGGUAGUUGGCGGGGUAACGGCCCACCAAGCCUUCGAUCAGUAACUGGUGUGAGAGCACGACCAGUCACACGGGCACUGAGACACGGGCCCGACUCCUACGGGAGGCAGCAGUAAGGAAUAUUGGUCAAUGGACGCAAGUCUGAACCAGCCAUGCCGCGUGAAGGAUGAAGGUCCUCUGGAUUGUAAACUUCUUUUAUCUGGGACGAAACCCGGGAAUUCUUUUCCGAUUGACGGUACCAGAGGAAUAAGCACCGGCUAACUCCGUGCCAGCAGCCGCGGUAAUACGGAGGGUGCAAGCGUUAUCCGGAUUCACUGGGUUUAAAGGGUGCGUAGGUGGGUUUGUAAGUCAGCGGUGAAAUCUCCGGGCUUAACUCGGAAACUGCCAUUGAUACUAUAGAUCUUGAAUUUUCUGGAGGUAAGCGGAAUAUGUCAUGUAGCGGUGAAAUGCUUAGAUAUGACAUAGAACACCAAUUGCGAAGGCAGCUUGCUACAGGAAUAUUGACACUGAGGCACGAAAGCGUGGGGAUCAAACAGGAUUAGAUACCCUGGUAGUCC